GGCCGGAUGGUCUAGGGGUAUGAUUCUCGCUUCGGGCGCGAGAGGUCCCGGGUUCGAAUCCCGGUUCGGCCC
Non-coding RNA from Necator americanus (New World hookworm), 72 nucleotides. The record is from Rfam. Lineage: Eukaryota; Metazoa; Nematoda; Chromadorea; Rhabditida; Ancylostomatidae.